UAGGGAAUCUUCGGCAAUGGACGGAAGUCUGACCGAGCAACGCCGCGUGAGUGAAGAAGGUUUUCGGAUCGUAAAGCUCUGUUGUAAGAGAAGAACGAGUGUGAGAGUGGAAAGUUCACACUGUGACGGUAUCUUACCAGAAAGGGACGGCUAACUACGUGCCAGCAGCCGCGGUAAUACGUAGGUCCCGAGCGUUGUCCGGAUUUAUUGGGCGUAAAGCGAGCGCAGGCGGUUAGAUAAGUCUGAAGUUAAAGGCUGUGGCUUAACCAUAGUAGGCUUUGGAAACUGUUUAACUUGAGUGCAAGAGGGGAGAGUGGAAUUCCAUGUGUAGCGGUGAAAUGCGUAGAUAUAUGGAGGAACACCGGUGGCGAAAGCGGCUCUCUGGCUUGUAACUGACGCUGAGGCUCGAAAGCGUGGGGAGCAAACAGGAUUAGAUACCCUGGUAGUCCACGCUGUAAACGAUGAGUGCUAGGUGUUAGACCCUUUCCGGGGUUCAGUGCCGUAGCUAACGCAUUAAGCACUCCGCCUGGGGGAGUACGACCGCAAGGUUG
RNAcentral lists this ribosomal RNA (551 nucleotides) under uncultured bacterium. RNAcentral describes it as "bacterial SSU rRNA". It matches the Rfam family "Bacterial small subunit ribosomal RNA", at positions 355 to 896 of the family's 1533-position model. The record is from RNAcentral.